UACAGGGGGGGCAAGCGUUGUUCGGAAUUACUGGGCGUAAAGGGCUCGUAGGUGGCCAACUAAGUCAGACGUGAAAUCCCUCAGCUUAACUGGGGAACUGCGUCUGAUACUGGAUGGCUUGAGUUUGGGAGAGGGAUGCGGAAUUCCAGGUGUAGCGGUGAAAUGCGUAGAUAUCUGGAGGAACACCGGUGGCGGAGGCGGCUACCUGGACAGAAACUGACGCUGAGGCGCGAAAGCGUGGGGAGCGAACAGG
Molecule: ribosomal RNA, 253 nt
Filed under: uncultured bacterium
Lineage: Bacteria
Description: partial 16S ribosomal RNA
Rfam family: Bacterial small subunit ribosomal RNA
Source: RNAcentral